RNAcentral lists this ribosomal RNA (457 nucleotides) under Arthrobacter globiformis. RNAcentral's name for it is "bacterial SSU rRNA". It matches the Rfam family "Bacterial small subunit ribosomal RNA", at positions 398 to 864 of the family's 1533-position model. The record is from RNAcentral. Lineage: Bacteria; Bacillati; Actinomycetota; Actinomycetes; Micrococcales; Micrococcaceae.
CGCGUGAGGUAUGACGACCUUCGGGUUGUAAACCUCUUUCAGUAGGGAAGAAGCGAAAGUGACGGUACCUGCAGAAGAAGCGCCGGCUAACUACGUGCCAGCAGCCGCGGUAAUACGUAGGGCGCAAGCGUUAUCCGGAAUUAUUGGGCGUAAAGAGCUCGUAGGCGGUUUGUCGCGUCUGCCGUGAAAGUCCGGGGCUCAACUCCGGAUCUGCGGUGGGUACGGGCAGACUAGAGUGAUGUAGGGGAGACUGGAAUUCCUGGUGUAGCGGUGAAAUGCGCAGAUAUCAGGAGGAACACCGAUGGCGAAGGCAGGUCUCUGGGCAUUAACUGACGCUGAGGAGCGAAAGCAUGGGGAGCGAACAGGAUUAGAUACCCUGGUAGUCCAUGCCGUAAACGUUGGGCACUAGGUGUGGAGGACAUGCCGCUUCUUCCGCGCGCGUAGCUAACACAUUAAG